Long non-coding RNA from Herpailurus yagouaroundi (jaguarundi), 1312 nucleotides. RefSeq lists it as uncharacterized. The transcript is spliced from 2 exons. The record is from RefSeq and is a predicted model, not a curated record. NCBI's taxonomy places the organism in Eukaryota, Metazoa, Chordata, Mammalia, Carnivora, Felidae.
GAAAAUAUGUGUUAAUCAACUAUGUUACCACUCAACAGUAGGCUAUUAAGUUUUGGGGGAGUCAAAAGUUACAUGAGGAUUUUCAAUUUGGAGAGAGGUGGGUUGGUGCUCCAACUUCCUUCCACUCCCUCGCACUGUUCAAGAGUCAACUGUAUUUGGUAUCUGUGUCAGAAGCCAUUCUGCAAAAUUUACCUUCCCACCAACGUACUUAGUUCUUCACAACUUUAGAAUCAACUAUCUUUAUGUUUUGCUACAAUACAUCCAGAUAUAUCAGAUCAUUCAAAAACUCCUGCCGUAUUUUAGGAAGAUAAAUGUAAUAGAAGUAUAAUCUCAGAUCAUAGCUUAUCAUAUGACUUAGUCUAUAUGUAAUACCUUUGCAGUGAAAACUCUUACAUAACUGUUAUUAUGUGCUGUAGGAUUUUCUGGAGCAGUGACCCCAUCCAGUUACAGCAAGUAAUUCUGAGCAAUCAGUAGCUUUCACUACCAACUUUUAGUAGUUGCUACAAAAAAACUGGUACUAGAUCCUUUGUCAUUAGGGAAAAUGAUACAUUGAUUUAUUUUUAUUAUUAAACAAUAGUAAGAUUUCCUCCUCAAAUACCCUUUUUAAAAAAAAGCAGAGCUAGGAACUGAGAAGAGGAAAUGAGGGAGCAAGUGAUAGUAAACACACAAAUGAUGCCUAACUCUCCCUACAGGUUUGAGAAAUAGACCAGGAUACAGCAGUCAUCUCUGAAAACUGGCAAGGAAAUUUUAAUCAGUGUGUUCAUAUACAUUUUGAAACCAUGUUGGAUUACUGUAAUAAAAUUUUACCUGGCAGGUGUUUUUAAAAGCUAAUCAGGAAACUAUCAUUUAAACCGGUAUUCUUAUAUUAAAAUUGAUACAAUUUUUAAGAGAAAUAGGCAAAAAGAUUAAGCAAGACUCAAAAUCCUAAUAUAUACUGAUACAAUACAAUGUAACUGAUGAUGUAAGAACUACAGAAUAUGUUUUGACAAUGGUAUAAUAUUAUGUAAUUAUAAUGACUGAAAGUUAAUUUUCUAGUUCUAAAAUAUUACAUAAAAAUUGAUAAUCAGUGCAUAUCCUUAAUAUGUCUUUGUUUUUUCACCCAGUAUCUGAAGCUUCCCCACUCCUAACUUUUUUCCGAGUAAAAACAAAACAAAACAAAAAAUGUCAACAUAGAAGGCAUUUUUACAAAAGUCAGUAGAAAAUCAAGAGGAUAGAAGAGAGGUAUUUUCAUUGUGUUACCUUUCUAUGCCAUUUGUGUAACUACUGUUAUUGUUUACCCUCUCAGGUAAAAAUAAAAACAAAUUUUUAAAGA